GAAUAUUGGACAAUGGGCGAAAGCCUGAUCCAGCAACGCCGCGUGGAGGAUGAAGGCCUUCGGGUUGUAAACUCCUGUCAGUAGGGACGAAGGUGUCAGGGCUAACAUCCCUGGCUCUUGACGGUACCUGCAGAGGAAGCCCCGGCUAACUCCGUGCCCGCAGCCGCGGUAAGACGGAGGGGGCAAGCGUUAUUCGGAAUUAUUGGGCGUAAAGGGCGCGUAGGCGGCCUCACAAGUCAGGGGUGAAAUCCCUCGGCUCAACCGAGGAACUGCCUCUGAAACUGUGGGGCUUGAGUCCGGGAGAGGGUGGUGGAAUUCCCAGUGUAGCGGUGAUAUGCGUAGAUACUGGGAGGAACACCGGUGGCGAAGGCGGCCACCUGGACCGGUACUGACGCUGAGGCGCGAAAGCGUGGGGAGCAAACA
RNAcentral lists this ribosomal RNA (423 nucleotides) under uncultured bacterium. RNAcentral's name for it is "bacterial SSU rRNA". It matches the Rfam family "Bacterial small subunit ribosomal RNA", at positions 359 to 774 of the family's 1533-position model. The record is from RNAcentral.